Molecule: ribosomal RNA, 301 nt
Filed under: uncultured bacterium
Lineage: Bacteria
Description: partial 16S ribosomal RNA
Rfam family: Bacterial small subunit ribosomal RNA
Source: RNAcentral
CAGCAGCCGCGGUAAAACGUAGGUGGCAAGCGUUGUCCGGAAUUAUUGGGCGUAAAGGGCUCGCAGGCGGUUUCUUAAGUCUGAUGUGAAAGCCCCCGGCUCAACCGGGGAGGGUCAUUGGAAACUGGGAAACUUGAGUGCAGAAGAGGAGAGUGGAAUUCCACGUGUAGCGGUGAAAUGCGUAGAGAUGUGGAGGAACACCAGUGGCGAAGGCGACUCUCUGGUCUGUAACUGACGCCGAGGAGCGAAAGCGUGGGGAGCGAACAGGAUUAGAGACCCCCGUAGUCCCUGUCUCUUAUAC